GGAAUGAAACUAAACCCUAAAGUUUAAAGGUAUCAUACGUAUUGGAAUACGAUUAAGAGAUAUAACAAGUAUCUCGACUAAGUAUUAGAAUACGAUCAAGGUUAAAAGUCGUAUUUGAACUACGAUUAUAUUAACCUAAGUUUAUAACUUAGAGUUUUGAUAUUAAGCCUACGUUUAUGAAUUAAACGUACGUAUGAUUUGAAUAGGAAGUGGAUACAUCGACGAGGUACGAGAUCGACGAGCUGGAAUAGUUAAAAGAGUGAAUGACGUGUGGAGCUUACGUUUGGAUAUAAGGAAUAGCGAUCGUUGUGUAUAGAGUCGGAUCAGACAGACCGUCUUUGGUGUGCUGGGUACAAGACCCCUUGGUGCUGCAGUAGUAUACGUGUGACGAGUCUUAGCCUAGUAUAGUUAGGUCUUAUAGGUUGUGUACGUGUUUAAUGUUUGUUUGAUGUGACAUCUUUUGGUUGUCAGUUUUUGUAUUGAUCGAUAGAUGGGCUAGUACGUACCAGUUACGGAAGUGAAAUGCCCACUAUGAUUGUAUCGAUGAUGUGUUUAUAUAUGAUGUUAUGUUAUGAUUGUAAA
Long non-coding RNA from Mercurialis annua (annual mercury), 582 nucleotides. RefSeq lists it as uncharacterized. The record is from RefSeq and is a predicted model, not a curated record. NCBI's taxonomy places the organism in Eukaryota, Viridiplantae, Streptophyta, Magnoliopsida, Malpighiales, Euphorbiaceae. The transcript has 2 exons.